CCAAACUUGGUCAUUUAGAGGAAGUAAAAGUCGUAACAAGGUUUCCGUAGGUGAACCUGCGGAAGGAUCAUUAACGAGGAAGGGUCUCGACGGCCCGAACUCCCAUCCCAUGCGGAUUGAACCACCGUUGCUUCGGCGGUUUGCCGCCGAACGCCUAAACUCUGAUCAUCAUGUUGUCUGAGUCUUGAUAUCAAUCAAAAACAAAACUUUCAACAACGGAUCUCUUGGUUCUGGCAUCGAUGAAGAACGCAGC
Molecule: unclassified non-coding RNA, 253 nt
Filed under: uncultured fungus
Lineage: Eukaryota; Fungi
Description: partial contains small subunit ribosomal RNA, internal transcribed spacer 1, and 5.8S ribosomal RNA
Rfam family: Eukaryotic small subunit ribosomal RNA (bases 1-73)
Source: RNAcentral